CCCACGCGCACACGUUCACACGUUCCUCACCCCACCCUUCUCGCUCCCGAUCCCAUCUCCCCACCGGCCUCAACUUGGCUAUGGCGACGGGGAGACGAGGAUCAACAACUCCUCUCCUUUGCCUUCUCCAUCACCGCCCGCCGCCCGCCACCCGCCACACGCCUCCCCGCGUCCCUCCUUCAUCCCCGUCCCCGAUUGGGCCGCCGCCGCCACCGCACCAUCAGGGGACACCGUCGGAGUGCAACCACAGUGCCGCCAGGGUACGCCGCGUGUACCGGCCGGCAAUGCAUGAGACGCCGCGGCUGCAGGGCAACGCCGGACGAGCAGCGCACGAAGCAGGUGCAGGUGGCGGUUCUGGUCAGAAGGAGGCAGCAGGGGGAGGGGGGCUUAGGCGGGUGAAGGGAGGCCGUGCGGCACCGAAGGGAGAGGUCGUCUGCGGUGGUUACCGUGGUGCAGUGCGGACGGCACGACUGCAAGGGGACUCAGCGGCGGCGUGCAUGGCCGUGGGGGUAAGGUGAGCGGGUCGGGGCACAGUGGGAGAAGAGCGCCGGGGUCCAGGCCGUCUUCCUCCGUGGAGAUGGAUUGGUGGGUCGACGUCACCAACACGCGCUCGAGGUGAGGUCUGAGAAUUUCCUCUUCUCUUAAAUUGUUGAUUUGGGGACUCAAGUGCAUCGCCCGCCUCUGUUUGGACUGAUCUGUUUUCUGCGUGCCCCUCGACAAGUAUAUUCUGACCAUGUUGUCCGGCCACGCCUACACGUCGGAGGUCUUGGAGAAGAUUGGCCUCCUUCAGCGGCUUGUGACCCCAGGCCCCCAACACUGAUGAGGCUUCAUGGCGGGUAAGGACCGUUCCAGUCAUAGAACAAAGUCCCAAGCUCUCACCUCUCACCUCUCUGAUGAUGAUGCACAUUGUCACUACACAUAGAUUGCAGUUAAAGAAGUACACAAGUUAAUUAAUUCUUGGGCUGACUUUACAGCAAACAGUGCAUCCGCUUCGACUGGUUAAUUUUCUGCGUGCCAAAGAGGGCCUCGACAAGACAACAAGUACCCCAUGACCAAGUUGUCCGGCAGUAGGUAUGAAUCAGGUGCAAAUUCCCCAUUCAUGCCUCAUGUUUUAUAUGGAGCAAAGAAAUGUUUUCUGCCUCUUUAUUUUCUGUAUAAAAAAAUCCCUGUUGUUAGGCUGCUGGCCUUUGUUAAUACUUGCUUACUUCUGAAUCCUGAUAUCUGAAUUCGAGGUGAUGGUUUUCCAUAUUACAUUGCUUCAAAAACUAUGUUAAUCCAUGACGUCAGCUGUUAAUCUUCCCUUUGUCAUGUUCUCUUUUAACUUUUAAGCGUUUUUUUGAUUAAUCCAGUUCCAACUGUUAAUCUAUUCCCAUGGGAACAUAGCAACACAACAAGAAAGUAAUCAACAAAAACUCAAAUGUGUAAAGCUUCUUGGACUGAAAAUUUGCAAGUCCAGUAUUCUAACUUGACUGCAGAAGAAGUACAAAAGAAGACCUACAACUGUACCGAUGAAUGACUGCAAAAAGGGGUUGUGCAAGAUGUCAAGAUUAUUGUGAAGAUGAAAAACUUCUACCGAAGGCGAGAGCUUUAUAGUUUUGGGAUUCAUCUGGUGGCUUCCAUGAAACAUCAUCUUUUGUUGAGGACAUGGGAGUUAACUUCGCCAUGGACGGGAGCUGAGAUAAUGGUACCAACGAAGUUCAUAGUUGGCGACUUAGAUCUAACAUACAAUAUUGUAGGUGCAAAAGAUUUCAUUAACAAAGGUGGCUUCAAGAAGUUUAUUCCGUUACUUGAUGGCGUGGUGAUAAUGAAAGAUGUCGGGCAUUUCAUAAAUGAAGAAAAGCCAGAGGAAAUUAGUGGGCUCAUAAUCAGCUUCAUAAAGAAAUUCAAGUAAACUGAAGUAUAUCGAGUACGUGAUGAAUAAGGUCAAAAUAUGCAUGGUUAUUGGAAAAUUUAUAUUUUGACCAUUGUAUUAUUGCGUUGAAAAAGUACAGACAUAUUUAUGAAAGUAUAUUUUUACUGUCCA
This is an RNA transcript of Triticum dicoccoides, 2023 nucleotides long. It is a transcript of the gene named epoxide hydrolase A-like, with no coding region annotated. The transcript has 5 exons. NCBI's taxonomy places the organism in Eukaryota, Viridiplantae, Streptophyta, Magnoliopsida, Poales, Poaceae. The record is from RefSeq and is a predicted model, not a curated record.